GGCGGACACUGCUUCCACCGCCUCCAAUUCACUGAAAUAGGUUUCACAUGGUUCGUAUCAACUUGUCGGACCGCUACUCGAACCCGGAGCGAUGGGUGGGGAAGGAAGAUGAGGGUUAACUUCAAUGGAGAAAGAAAGCACUCGAUGAUCAGUUCUCUACCGGGACAAAGAAGAUGAUCACUAGCAGAGAUAGCAAUUCGAACCUUAGAGUCUCCCUACAGUGAGGGAGACUUCCCGUGUCCUACUUCCUUUGAAUGAACACUAACCAAUCAUGUAAUCAUCUAUAGAUAUAUCAUUGUUGGAACAUGAUCCGAUCUUCGAGAAGUAGUGCUAUGAUGCUUCCAUCCCUUUUCUUUCGAAUUCGGAUCGGGC
This is a long non-coding RNA of Telopea speciosissima, 372 nucleotides long. RefSeq lists it as uncharacterized. The record is from RefSeq and is a predicted model, not a curated record. The transcript has 3 exons. NCBI's taxonomy places the organism in Eukaryota, Viridiplantae, Streptophyta, Magnoliopsida, Proteales, Proteaceae.